CCUACGGGAGGCAGCAGUGAGGAAUAUUGGUCAAUGGCCGUAAGGCUGAACCAGCCAAGUAGCGUGAGGGAAGACUGCCCUAUGGGUUGUAAACCUCUUUUAUGCGGGGAUAAAGGUGUCCACGUGUGGAUGUUUGCAUGUACCGCAUGAAUAAGGACCGGCUAAUUCCGUGCCAGCAGCCGCGGUAAUACGGAAGGUCCGGGCGUUAUCCGGAUUUAUUGGGUUUAAAGGGUGCGUAGGCGGAAUAUCAAGUCAGCGGUAAAAAUUCGGGGCUCAACCCCGUCGUGCCGUUGAAACUGAUGGUCUUGAGUGGGCGAGAAGUAGGCGGAAUGCGUGGUGUAGCGGUGAAAUGCUUAGAUAUCACGAAGAACUCCGAUUGCGAAGGCAGCUUACUAAACUGCCACUGACAUUGAUGCUCGAAAGUGUGGGUAUCAAACAGGAUUAGAUACCCGAGUAGUC
This 459-nucleotide ribosomal RNA is filed under the name uncultured bacterium. RNAcentral's name for it is "partial 16S ribosomal RNA". It matches the Rfam family "Bacterial small subunit ribosomal RNA", at positions 338 to 795 of the family's 1533-position model. The record is from RNAcentral.